Molecule: long non-coding RNA, 525 nt
Filed under: Eucalyptus grandis
Lineage: Eukaryota; Viridiplantae; Streptophyta; Magnoliopsida; Myrtales; Myrtaceae
Description: long non-coding RNA (EGRA_LNC006742)
Source: RNAcentral
UACGACAACGACUAGCUUCAGACGUCCAUAUCUAGGGAGACUUUCGAUUUCAUCGAAAGGGUGCCAUUGUAGAAGAGGAAACCACAGAUUAUGACGACGACGACUACUAUGCCAACGAUGACCCAUCUCGGAGUAUCCCACCAUGAAAUGUUGUCGUCGUUGGACAAUGCCAGAUUUGGAACAAAUGAAGGGGGGGAGUACUGGUAGCCCGGACAGUUCUGUGGACAGUUACUGUUCUCCAUCGAGAAAACUCUCUGUAGUUCCACGCAAGUGAUGAGUUUACAAACAUACUUUGAAGCAUCAAUUCAUACUAGAAAAAGAAGUAGUUCUUCAAAAAGAGGAUGGUACUUUGUCAGACAAGAAACACUUUUUGAUCACAUAGAUCGAGAAGAUUGUAUAACCAGAGCACGAGAGCGAGAUGAUUGAAUAAUAUAAAUCGAAGACUUGAAGGAGGAGCUGGCGCAUACCUUAUCAAGAAGAACUGAGCAAACCAGUGCGUGAUGUUCUUGGUAUGAUUCUCACAAC